Molecule: ribosomal RNA, 496 nt
Filed under: uncultured bacterium
Lineage: Bacteria
Description: partial 16S ribosomal RNA
Rfam family: Bacterial small subunit ribosomal RNA
Source: RNAcentral
AUGAACGCUGGCGGCGUGCCUAAUACAUGCAAGUCGAGCGAACAGACGAGGAGCUUGCUCCUCUGACGUUAGCGGCGGACGGGUGAGUAACACGUGGAUAACCUACCUAUAAGCCUGGGAUAACUUCGGGAAACCGGAGCUAAUACCGGAUAAUAUAUUGAACCGCAUGGUUCAAUAGUGAAAGCCGGUUUUGCUGUCACUUAUAGAUGGAUCCGCGCCGCAUUAGCUAGUUGGUAAGGUAACGGCUUACCAAGGCAACGAUGCGUAGCCGACCUGAGAGGGUGAUCGGCCACACUGGAACUGAGACACGGUCCAGACUCCUACGGGAGGCAGCAGUAGGGAAUCUUCCGCAAAGGGCGAAAGCCUGACGGAGCAACGCCGCGUGAGUGAUGAAGGUCUUCGGUUCGUAAAACUCUGUUAUUAGGGAAGAACAAAUGUGUAAGUAACUAUGCACGUCUUGACGGUACCUAAUCAGAAAGCCACGGCUAACUACGUG